Molecule: transfer RNA, 91 nt
Filed under: Colletotrichum falcatum
Lineage: Eukaryota; Fungi; Ascomycota; Sordariomycetes; Glomerellales; Glomerellaceae
Description: tRNA-Ala
Rfam family: tRNA
About the family: Transfer RNA (tRNA) molecules are approximately 80 nucleotides in length. Their secondary structure includes four short double-helical elements and three loops (D, anti-codon, and T loops).
Source: RNAcentral
GGGCGUUUAGCUCAGUGGUAGAGCGCCCGCUUUGCAUUGCAAUCUCGAUCACGAAUGCGGGAGGCCCAGGGUUCAAUCCCCUGAUCGUCCA